UGGGCAACCUGCCCUCAGCUCUGGGAUAACUCCAAGAAAUUGGGCUAAUACCGGAUAUGACCGCUGACCGCAUGGUCUGGUGGUGGAAAGAUUUAUCGGCUGGGGAUGGGCCCGCGGCCUAUCAGCUUGUUGGUGGGGUAGUGGCCUACCAAGGCGACGACGGGUAGCCGGCCUGAGAGGGCGAUCGGCCACACUGGGACUGAGACACGGCCCAGACUCCGUACGGGA
This 228-nucleotide ribosomal RNA is filed under the name uncultured bacterium. RNAcentral's name for it is "partial 16S ribosomal RNA". It matches the Rfam family "Bacterial small subunit ribosomal RNA", at positions 118 to 346 of the family's 1533-position model. The record is from RNAcentral.